Molecule: long non-coding RNA, 1913 nt
Filed under: Podarcis lilfordi (Lilford's wall lizard)
Lineage: Eukaryota; Metazoa; Chordata; Lepidosauria; Squamata; Lacertidae
Source: RNAcentral
GCUACAUUGUAAGGGGCAUGUACGCUGGUCACUGCAUUGAAAGGGGGCAUGUACGCUGGUCACUGUUUUGAAGGGGAGUGAAGAACACACACACAAAAAAAGGUAACUUGUUAAUUUAACGUUUAUUUCUAUGAGGAGGAGUAAUUCUGAGGGGUCGAACAAAGAAAUAAUAAAAAAAGUGACAAAAAAGUUAUUUUUAUAAUGACGAGUUUUGCGGCUCCCAGUUUUUUUUCCCUUCGGAAACGGGUCCAAGUGGCUCUUUUUGUCUUAAAGGUUGCAGACCCCUGAACUAUACGGACCUUUGUUGGCAAGGUGAUGUCUCUUUGUUGGCAAGGCUUUCAAUAGCUACUGGCUAUACUGCCUAUGUUCUGCCUCCAUAGUUUGGAACAGUUAUGCUUCUGAAUACCUGUUGCUGGAAGCCACAUGAUGGGAGGGUGCCACUGUGCUUGGGUCUUGCUUGCGGGGUUCCCACAAGCAUCUGUUAAGUAUAGUAAUUUAAUUCACCGAUUGCAAGUGCUUGUAUGCACUACUAUGUGUUUACAUUUGAUUGGUUGGUAACCGAAUUCUAGAGAGUUCUCUGGUAGCUCUCAUGUGAUUGGCUAAGGUUGGUCACAUGGGAGGUAUCUAGUGAAGGAGAGACUCCAUUUUGUGUGAAGCGAGAGGACUGUUCUUUAGAAUCCACUGUGAACACUGCUAAGUUGAACAGAGUGUUGGAACGCUUCUUCUCUGCCUGAGAGGAUCUGGAGAGCAAAGCUGCAGGAGAAAGUAAAAGUGCAAAUCUCUCAUAGGAGCUGCAAGGCAUGGCCUAAUCAAGAUACAGAAAGCUGAGUGCUUAGUCCUGGAAAGACAGUAAAAUACAAUUAUUUGGAAGUUAGAAGACACUGUGUGUCCAUGCUUGGAUGAGCAUGUGACUGUAAAUAUCAUGUUGCAAUUCAUCUGUAGCUAUAAGUUUGUGCAAGUAAAGUUUUUGAAUAUGGACAUUGGUUUCAUAUCCAAAUAAGGGUGACAGUCUCUUAUGUAUAUAUGUAUAUGUAAGGGACACGGGUGGCGCUGUGGGUUAAACCACAGAGCCUUGGACUUGCUGCUCAGAAGGUCGGUGGUUCGAAUCCCCGUGAUGGGGUGAGCUCCUGUUGCUCGGUCCCUGCUCCUGCCAACCUAGCAGUUCAAAAGCACGUCAAAGUGCAAGUAGAUAAAUAGGUACCACUCUGGCGGGAAGGUAAACGGCGUUUCCGUGCACUGCUCUGGUUCGCCAGAAGCGGCUUAGUCCUGCUGGCCACAUGACCCGGAAGCUGUAUGCCUGCUCCCUUGGCCAAUAAAGCGAGAUGAGCACUGCAACGCCAGAGUCGGCCACGACUGGACCUAAUGGUCAGGGGUCCCUUUACCUUUACCUGUAUAUGUAUAUGUACAGUGGACGCUUGGGUUGCGAACGUGAGCCAUGUGGGAUGCACAUUCGCAACCCGCAGUGUCCGCAACCCACAGCGGCAUGUCUGCGCACACACGGGUUGCGAUUUAGCGCUUCUGUGCAUGCGCAAUUGCCAAACCCUGGAAGUAACCCAUUCCGGUACUUCCAGGUUUCAGCGGCCCGCAACCCAAAAAAACGCAACCUGAAGCGUCUGUAACCCGAGGUAUAACUGUAUAUGUAUGAUUUGAGCUUCUUGGCUGCAAUUUUGCUACUCUUACUUCAACACUUCGGCCUCAUCCCAAAGGUGGUUCUUUUGUUUGUUCACAUGCUACACUUAAAGCAACUGUGGGGAACCUACAGCCCUUCAGAGACGCUGUUGAACCACAACUCUCAUCAGCUGCAGCAAGAAUGGCCAAUGGCCGAGGAUGGUGGGAGUUAUAGCUGAGCAAUGCGUUCCCCACACCUGCUUUAUCAACAGAAGUUUCCAGAUUCGAUCCCUGGAAGGUGCGGC